GUGGGGAAUUUUGGACAAUGGGCGCAAGCCUGAUCCAGCGACGCCGCGUGGAGGACGAAGGCCUUCGGGUUGUAAACUCCUUUUGGAGGGGAAGAAUAAAUUGACGGUACCCUCAGAAAAAGCCACGGCUAACUACGUGCCAGCAGCCGCGGUAAUACGUAGGUGGCGAGCGUUACUCGGAAUUACUAGGCGUAAAGCGUAUGUAGGUGGUUAGAUAAGUCUAUGGUGAAAUUUCCUGGCUUAACUGGGAAGGGACAUAGAUACUAUCUGGCUUGAGUGUGGGAGGGGGAGACGGAAUUCCUGGUGUAGCGGUGAAAUGCGUAGAUAUCAGGAGGAACACCGAUGGCGAAAGCAGUCUCCUGGCCCAAUACUGACACUGAGGUACGAAAGCUAGGGUAGCAAACAGGAUUAGAUACCCUUGUAGUCC
Molecule: ribosomal RNA, 427 nt
Filed under: uncultured bacterium
Lineage: Bacteria
Description: partial 16S ribosomal RNA
Rfam family: Bacterial small subunit ribosomal RNA
Source: RNAcentral